UCCGAGGCGACCCGGAAUUGAAAGAAGCUGUAGGCAAAAUCCUGGACUGAUGAAGCAGUUAGAUAAAAUUAAGCAAAUAGC
Molecule: non-coding RNA, 81 nt
Organism: Geobacter sp.
Lineage: Bacteria; Pseudomonadati; Thermodesulfobacteriota; Desulfuromonadia; Geobacterales; Geobacteraceae
Source: Rfam